Molecule: long non-coding RNA, 474 nt
Organism: Papaver somniferum (opium poppy)
Lineage: Eukaryota; Viridiplantae; Streptophyta; Magnoliopsida; Ranunculales; Papaveraceae
Exons: 3
Source: RefSeq, a predicted model, not a curated record
AUUUUGAGCUUAUGUUGCAUCUUAGAACUUUUUAAAGUUCAAGUUGUUAAGUACUUUGAUAUUCCCACUUAUGUUCCUCUGCCAGGGCUGCUGAGAUAAGUAAGAAGUUAAAGCUGAUGGAGUCGGAGUUGAACCAGAAGAAGCCUGUAAGUCCAGGCAUUCAACACUGAGCCAAUUCUCCCUCCCUAUACAGCUCAUCCAGAUCAUGUUGAAUGAGCAUUAAAGACUAGAUAUUCUGGGGCUAUGACAAAAAUCGAGGGGGAAGUAAAACGUGUUUGUGAAGAGCACGCAGUACCUGGCCAAUUGCAUAGAUUGCCUGGAUCACUCCAGCAUUGCAGAAUAUUUGUAUGGUAUGCUGCUCUUGCACAACAACUUCUGCUGCUCAUAGCAACUGGUGUGGGGAGGUAUCUGCAAGUACUGAGUGUUUGAGAAUUAACCUGUGAUCUUUCUAUGUAUCCCCUCAGAAUAUGAUAC